This 352-nucleotide long non-coding RNA is filed under the name Paramuricea clavata. Lineage: Eukaryota; Metazoa; Cnidaria; Anthozoa; Malacalcyonacea; Plexauridae. The record is from RNAcentral.
GCCAAAACCUUUACAAAGGGAUACCAUUCAGUUGUCACACAUGUCCUUUUAAUUGCCACUUCUGUGACACGAGUUUGAUAACGGCUUGUGAAAUUUUCUGCAAUCUAAAGUUUCAUAUUGUCUGCACUUGUAGUUUCUUUGGAGACACAAUUUGUCUCCUGACAAAUUGGAAAAUGAUGAAGAUAAUGACUUGAUGCACAUAUUAUAUUGACAUUGCUUUUUAGUCUCCAAUAUUUCAGUGAGUCAUGCUUUGGAAAUGACAAUAAUUUUUUAUUACCCAACACUUGAGUUGUUUUGUUUAUUACCCAACCCUUGAGUUGUUUUGUUUUUCAUUUAUCCAACCUUUUACUUA